CCUACGGGAGGCAGCAGUGAGGAAUAUUGGUCAAUGGACGAGAGUCUGAACCAGCCAAGUAGCGUGAAGGAUGACUGCCCUAUGGGUUGUAAACAUCUUUUAUAUGGGAAUAAAACGUUCCACGUGUGGGAUUUUGUAUGUACCAUAUGAAUAAGGAUCGGCUAACUCCGUGCCAGCAGCCGCGGUAAUACGGAGGAUCCGAGCGUUAUCCGGAUUUAUUGGGUUUAAAGGGAGCGUAGGUGGAUUGUUAAGUCAGUUGUGAAAGUUUGCGGCUCAACCGUAAAAUUGCAGUUGAAACUGGCAGUCUUGAGUACAGUAGAGGUGGGCGGAAUUCGUGGUGUAGCGGUGAAAUGCUUAGAUAUCACGAAGAACUCCGAUUGCGAAGGCAGUUCACUGGACUGCAACUGACACUGAGGCUCGAAAGUGUGGGUAUCAAACAGGAUUAGAUACCCCUGUAGUC
This 460-nucleotide ribosomal RNA is filed under the name uncultured bacterium. Its description in RNAcentral is "partial 16S ribosomal RNA". It matches the Rfam family "Bacterial small subunit ribosomal RNA", at positions 338 to 795 of the family's 1533-position model. The record is from RNAcentral.